Molecule: non-coding RNA, 103 nt
Filed under: Bacillus sp. (in: firmicutes)
Lineage: Bacteria; Bacillati; Bacillota; Bacilli; Caryophanales; Bacillaceae
Description: Bacillus sp. Guanine sequence
Rfam family: Purine riboswitch aptamer
About the family: Riboswitches are metabolite binding domains within certain messenger RNAs that serve as precision sensors for their corresponding targets. Allosteric rearrangement of mRNA structure is mediated by ligand binding, and this results in modulation of gene expression. A class of riboswitches that selectively recognises guanine and becomes saturated at concentrations as low as 5 nM.
Source: RNAcentral
ACAAUAUUCGUCAUUAUUCUUCAUAUAUCCUCGACAAUAUGGGUCGAGAGUCUCUACCGGGGCGCCGUAACAUGCCCUGACUAUGAAGGCAGUCUGACUUUGU